RNAcentral lists this ribosomal RNA (419 nucleotides) under uncultured Prevotella sp. RNAcentral describes it as "bacterial SSU rRNA". It matches the Rfam family "Bacterial small subunit ribosomal RNA", at positions 358 to 774 of the family's 1533-position model. Lineage: Bacteria; Pseudomonadati; Bacteroidota; Bacteroidia; Bacteroidales; Prevotellaceae. The record is from RNAcentral.
GGAAUAUUGGUCAAUGGGCGUAAGCCUGAACCAGCCAAGUAGCGUGCAGGAUGACGGCCCUAUGGGUUGUAAACUGCUUUUAUGCGGGGAUAAAGUGAGGGACGUGUCCCUUUUUGUAGGUACCGCAUGAAUAAGGACCGGCUAAUUCCGUGCCAGCCGCCGCGGUAAUACGGAAGGUCCGGGCGUUAUCCGGAUUUAUUGGGGUUAAAGGGAGCGCCGGCUGAUAUUUAAGCGUGACGUGAAAUGUAGCCGCUCAACGGCUGAACUGCGUCGCGAACUGGUAGUCUUGAGUGAGUUCGAAGUUGGCGGAAUUCGUGGUGUAGCGGUGAAAUGCUUAGAUAUCACGAAGAACUCCGAUUGCGAAGGCAGCCAACAAGGCCUUUACUGACGCUAAAGCUCGAAGGUGCGGGUAUCGAACA